This 137-nucleotide transfer RNA is filed under the name Limnofasciculus baicalensis BBK-W-15. Its description in RNAcentral is "tRNA-OTHER". It matches the Rfam family "tRNA". From Rfam's summary of the family: Transfer RNA (tRNA) molecules are approximately 80 nucleotides in length. Their secondary structure includes four short double-helical elements and three loops (D, anti-codon, and T loops). The record is from RNAcentral. Lineage: Bacteria; Bacillati; Cyanobacteriota; Cyanophyceae; Coleofasciculales; Coleofasciculaceae.
UGGUGGGUAGCUCAGUUUGGUAGAGCAGUGGACUGGUGAAAGCCAGUAUCCCUGAAUCAACAACUUGUCUGAAAAGACCGAAGUAUUUAGGGUUAUCGUGGUUCCAUGUGUCACAGGUUCAAAUCCUGUCCCACCAC